RNAcentral lists this ribosomal RNA (253 nucleotides) under uncultured bacterium. RNAcentral describes it as "partial 16S ribosomal RNA". It matches the Rfam family "Bacterial small subunit ribosomal RNA", at positions 524 to 776 of the family's 1533-position model. The record is from RNAcentral.
UACGUAGGGUGCAAGCGUUAAUCGGAAUUACUGGGCGUAAAGCGUGCGCAGGCGGUUUUGUAAGUCAGAUGUGAAAUCCCCGGGCUUAACCUGGGAACUGCGUUUGAAACUACAAGGCUAGAGUGUGGCAGAGGGGGGUGGAAUUCCACGUGUAGCAGUAAAAUGCGUAGAGAUGUGGAGGAACACCGAUGGCGAAGGCAGCCCCCUGGGUUAACACUGACGCUCAGGCACGAAAGCGUGGGGAGCAAACAGG